RNAcentral lists this ribosomal RNA (433 nucleotides) under uncultured bacterium. RNAcentral's name for it is "partial 16S ribosomal RNA". It matches the Rfam family "Bacterial small subunit ribosomal RNA", at positions 29 to 507 of the family's 1533-position model. The record is from RNAcentral.
AACGAACGCUGGCGGCAGGCUUAACACAUGCAAGUCGAGCGAGACCUUCGGGUCUAGCGGCGGACGGGUGAGUAACGCGUGGGAACGUGCCCUUCUCUACGGAAUAGCCCCGGGAAACUGGGAGUAAUACCGUAUACGCCCUUUGGGGGAAAGAUUUAUCGGAGAAGGAUCGGCCCGCGUUGGAUUAGGUAGUUGGUGGGGUAAUGGCCCACCAAGCCGACGAUCCAUAGCUGGUUGGAGAGGAUGAUCAGCCACACUGGGACUGAGACACGGCCCAGACUCCUACGGGAGGCAGCAGUGGGGAAUCUUAGACAAUGGGGGCAACCCUGAUCUAGCCAUGCCGCGUGAGUGAUGAAGGCCUUAGGGUUGUAAAGCUCUUUCAGCUGGGAAGAUAAUGACGGUACCAGCAGAAGAAGCCCCGGCUAACUCCGUG